GAUGAACGCUGGCGGCGUGCCUAAUACAUGCAAGUCGAGCGAACGGAUGAGAAGCUUUCUUCUCUGAUGUUAGCGGCGGACGGGUGAGUAACACGUGGAUAACCUACCUAUAAGACUGGGAUAACCUCGGGAAACCGGAGCUCAUACCGGAUAAUAUUUUGAACCGCAUGGUUCAAAAGUGAAAGAGGGUCUUGCUGUCACUUAUAGAUGGAUCCGCGCUGCAUUAGUUAGUUGGUAAGGUAACGGCUUACCAAGGCAACGAUGCAUAGCCGACCUGAGAGGGUGAUCGGCCACACUGGAACUGAGACACGGUCCAGACUCCUACGGGAGGCAGCAGUAGGGAAUCUUCCGCAAUGGGCGAAAGCCUGACGGAGCAACGCCGCGUGAGUGAAGAAGGUCUUCGGAUCGUAAAACUCUGUUAUUAGGGAAGAACAUAUGUGUAAGUAACUGUGCACAUCUUGACGGUACCUAAUCAGAAAGCCACGGCUAACUACGUG
RNAcentral lists this ribosomal RNA (497 nucleotides) under uncultured bacterium. RNAcentral describes it as "partial 16S ribosomal RNA". It matches the Rfam family "Bacterial small subunit ribosomal RNA", at positions 28 to 507 of the family's 1533-position model. The record is from RNAcentral.